RNAcentral lists this ribosomal RNA (639 nucleotides) under uncultured bacterium. RNAcentral describes it as "bacterial SSU rRNA". It matches the Rfam family "Bacterial small subunit ribosomal RNA", at positions 232 to 885 of the family's 1533-position model. The record is from RNAcentral.
CGCGGCCUAUCAGCUUGUUGGCGGGGUAACGGCCCACCAAGGCGUCGACGGGUAGCUGGUCUGAGAGGAUGAUCAGCCACACUGGGACUGAGACACGGCCCAGACUCCUACGGGAGGCAGCAGUGGGGAAUCUUGCACAAUGGGCGCAAGCCUGAUGCAGCAACGCCGCGUGCGGGAAGAAGGCCCUAGGGUUGUAAACCGCUUUCAGCAGGGAAGAAAAUGACGGUACCUGUAGAAGAAGGUGCGGCCAACUACGUGCCAGCAGCCGCGGUGACACGUAGGCACCAAGCGCUGUCCGGAUUUAUUGGGCGUAAAGAGCUCGUAGGCGGUUCGGUAAGUCGGGUGUGAAAACUCUGGGCUCAACCCAGAGACGCCACCCGAUACUGCUGUGACUAGAGUGCGGUAGGGGAGCGGGGAAUUCCUGGUGUAGCGGUGAAAUGCGCAGAUAUCAGGAGGAACACCAGUGGCGAAGGCGCCGCUCUGGGCCGUGACUGACGCUGAGGAGCGAAAGCGUGGGUAGCAAACAGGAUUAGAUACCCUGGUAGUCCACGCCGUAAACGUUGGGCACUAGGUGUGGGUCUCAACCAACGAGAUCCGCGCCGUCGCAAACGCAUUAAGUGCCCCGCCUGGGGAGUACGG